CCUACGGGUGGCAGCAGUGGGGAAUAUUGGACAAUGGGCGAAAGCCUGAUCCAGCCAUGCCGCGUGUGUGAAGAAGGCCUUCGGGUUGUAAAGCACUUUCAGUGGGGAAGAAAGCCUUGGGGCUAAUACCCUCGAGGAAGGACAUCACCCACAGAAGAAGCACCGGCUAACUCCGUGCCAGCAGCCGCGGUAAUACGGAGGGUGCGAGCGUUAAUCGGAAUUACUGGGCGUAAAGCGCGCGUAGGCGGUCUGAUAAGCCGGUUGUGAAAGCCCCGGGCUCAACCUGGGAACGGCAUCCGGAACUGUCAGGCUAGAAUGCAGGAGAGGAAGGUAGAAUUCCCGGUGUAGCGGUGAAAUGCGUAGAGAUCGGGAGGAAUACCAGUGGCGAAGGCGGCCUUCUGGACUGACACUGACGCUGAGGUGCGAAAGCGUGGGUAGCAAACAGGAUUAGAUACCCGAGUAGUC
RNAcentral lists this ribosomal RNA (465 nucleotides) under Vreelandella stevensii. Its description in RNAcentral is "partial 16S ribosomal RNA". It matches the Rfam family "Bacterial small subunit ribosomal RNA", at positions 338 to 795 of the family's 1533-position model. The record is from RNAcentral. Lineage: Bacteria; Pseudomonadati; Pseudomonadota; Gammaproteobacteria; Oceanospirillales; Halomonadaceae.